GAUGAACGCUGUCGGCGUGCCUAACACAUGCAAGUCGAACGGAGUCCAGCCUUAGAGACCUUCGGGUCAAAGAGGGGAAGACUGAGUGGCGGACGGGUGAGUAACACGUGGGCAACCUGGCUCAUAGAGGGGGAUAACAGAGAGAAAUUUCUGCUAAUACCGCAUAAGCACACACUGCCGCAUGGCAGAGUGUGAAAAGAGAAUCGCUAUGAGAUGGACCCGCGUCUGAUUAGCCAGUUGGCAGGGUAAGAGCCUACCAAAGCGACGAUCAGUAGCCGAUUUGAGAGGAUGAACGGCCACAUUGGGACUGAGACACGGCCCAAACUCCUACGGGAGGCAGCAGUGGGGGAUAUUGCACAAUGGGGGGAACCCUGAUGCAGCGACGCCGCGUGAGUGAAGAAGUAUUUCGGUAUGUAAAGCUCUAUCAGCAGGGAAGAUAAUGACAGUACCUGAAUAAGAAGCCCCGGCUAACUACGUG
RNAcentral lists this ribosomal RNA (478 nucleotides) under uncultured bacterium. RNAcentral's name for it is "partial 16S ribosomal RNA". It matches the Rfam family "Bacterial small subunit ribosomal RNA", at positions 28 to 507 of the family's 1533-position model. The record is from RNAcentral.